This is a ribosomal RNA of 949 nucleotides. It matches the Rfam family "Bacterial small subunit ribosomal RNA", at positions 70 to 1011 of the family's 1533-position model.
AACGAUCCUAGCUUGCUAGGAGGCGUCGAGCGGCGGACGGGUGAGUAAUGCAUAGGAAUCUGCCCGGUAGUGGGGGAUAACUUGAGGAAACUCAAGCUAAUACCGCAUACGCCCCAAGGGGGAAAGCAGGGGAUCUUCGGACCUUGCGCUAUCGGAUGAGCCUAUGUCGGAUUAGCUAGUUGGUGAGGUAAUGGCUCACCAAGGCCGCGAUCCGUAGCUGGUCUGAGAGGAUGAUCAGCCACAUCGGGACUGAGACACGGCCCGAACUCCUACGGGAGGCAGCAGUGGGGAAUAUUGGACAAUGGGCGAAAGCCUGAUCCAGCCAUGCCGCGUGUGUGAAGAAGGCCCUCGGGUUGUAAAGCACUUUCAGCGAGGAAGAACGCCUGUGGGUUAAUACCCCGCAGGAAGGACAUCACUCGCAGAAGAAGCACCGGCUAACUCCGUGCCAGCAGCCGCGGUAAUACGGAGGGUGCAAGCGUUAAUCGGAAUUACUGGGCGUAAAGCGCGCGUAGGCGGCUUGAUAAGCCGGUUGUGAAAGCCCCGGGCUCAACCUGGGAACGGCAUCCGGAACUGUCAGGCUAGAGUGCAGGAGAGGAAGGUAGAAUUCCCGGUGUAGCGGUGAAAUGCGUAGAGAUCGGGAGGAAUACCAGUGGCGAAGGCGGCCUUCUGGACUGACACUGACGCUGAGGUGCGAAAGCGUGGGUAGCAAACAGGAUUAGAUACCCUGGUAGUCCACGCCGUAAACGAUGUCGACUAGCCGUUGGGGUCCUCGAGACCUUUGUGGCGCAGUUAACGCGAUAAGUCGACCGCCUGGGGAGUACGGCCGCAAGGUUAAAACUCAAAUGAAUUGACGGGGGCCCGCACAAGCGGUGGAGCAUGUGGUUUAAUUCGAUGCAACGCGAAGAACCUUACCUACUCUUGACAUCGAGCGAACUUUCCAGAGAUGGAU